This 885-nucleotide ribosomal RNA is filed under the name Triticum aestivum (bread wheat). RNAcentral describes it as "partial small subunit ribosomal RNA". Lineage: Eukaryota; Viridiplantae; Streptophyta; Magnoliopsida; Poales; Poaceae. The record is from RNAcentral.
AUGUUUGUUAGGCAUAAAGAGAAAGAUAAUUUUCAUGUGAGGCUGCAAGUUGAUGUGCUUGAGCAGGCAUUUGGACCUAGGAUGACGGGUGCAACAUCUCGGGGAGAACCAAGUCGUCGUAAUGGCAUCUCUAGCCAGAACAGUUCAGUUGGUGCACGACGACGUGGUGGCUCGACAAGUGUGGGCAACAGCAGUAGGGUCCCCCUUGAAGUGGAGCUUGAUGACUACAAUUCUGGGGUUGAUGAAGAGAAGCUAUAUUCUGAUGUUAUUCGGAAUUUACGACGGGCACCUCGGGCAGAAAACCAAGAUGAGGAUCACAAUGCAGUCCGUGUGGAUGAUGACGCAGUGGGUGAGGACGAAGACCUUGCAGCUGUUGAAUGGGACCCUUUGAACCCUCAUAUGGAAGAAGGUACAGUUUUUGCAUCCAUGAAUGAGUGUAGAAAUGCACUUGUGACAUACUGCAUCAAGGUAGAACGUACUUUCAAAAUUGACAAGAGUGAUCAAGUACGUUACAGAGUGCACUGUCCGACUGAGGGUUGUCCAUGGAGGCUGCUCGCAUCUAAAAUGCGAAAUAGCACUAAUGUUCAGGUCAAAGUGAACCCUUUUAAGCACACAUGCCAGGAAUCAACCCUUAGGAAGGAUACAAUCAGUAGAGCCAAGUCAAGAUGGAUGGCAGAAGAAGUAAAGAAGUGGGUGAAAGAAAACCAGCAAGUGGGUCCAAAGGAAUUGCAGAAGAACAUCAAAGAUAAGUUCAAGAUAGAUUUACCAUACAUGAGGUUUUUCAAUGUAGAUCCAGCGUUCAGAGAGAGUUUCGAUGAAGGCUUCGAUGAAAAUGUUGGUCAGCAGCCGGUUGCCUCAAUAGAUGAUGACAAUGAUGGUCAAUAG